Paramormyrops kingsleyae is the source of this 556-nucleotide non-coding RNA. The record is from RefSeq and is a predicted model, not a curated record. Lineage: Eukaryota; Metazoa; Chordata; Actinopteri; Osteoglossiformes; Mormyridae.
GAAGCUUGGGAAGUCAUAGGCCUGGACCUCAUUGGACCACUACGUGAGACAAGCAGAGGGAACAAAUACAUAUUGACCAUGACGGAUCUCUAUACGAAAUGGGUUGUCGCCGAACCGCUGAUGUCAAAGACUGCGAGUGAGGUGUCUACGGCCAUCAUCCUGAAGCUGUAUUCAUUUGGCUGUCAGGAAAAUCAUCACUGACCAAGGGAAAGAGUUUGUCAAUGAGCUGAAUGACAACAUUUUCAGACUUCUGAAGAUUAAGCAUGCUGUCUGAAGUGCUUACCAUCCACAAACCAAUGGCCAGGAUGAAAGGACAAAUCAAAAUAUUAAACUCUGAAGAAAUACGUCAACGAAAGCCACAUUGACUGGGACCUCCACCUGCCUGCAGUUGUCUAUGGCAUUAACACUGCCAAGCAAUCUUCCACCAGGCAUACUCCCUACUUCUUGUUGUUCCAUCGACAUCCUCGUUUACCUGAAGUUAUUAACACAUGUCCUAUGGAAGACAACUUUGAAGUUGGGGAUCCAGAAGAAGACCUUGAUGCCAGGGUGAAGGAAU